Fukomys damarensis (Damara mole-rat) is the source of this 1707-nucleotide long non-coding RNA. RefSeq lists it as uncharacterized. NCBI's taxonomy places the organism in Eukaryota, Metazoa, Chordata, Mammalia, Rodentia, Bathyergidae. The transcript has 3 exons. The record is from RefSeq and is a predicted model, not a curated record.
CCCUGCCUGUGGGAGCGGGUGCUACGGGUGGAUGGCCCUUCCCCCCAUUUAUUCUAGGAGUGAGAACUGCCAUCGGUAACUAAGGUACUGCUUUGCCUUCCGCAGCCUACACUUCGUCUGCUUCUCUUCAGCAGGUGGAGCAGAAUUUGAAUGUUUUGCAUCUAGUCCCACUCCUUUCCUAAUGCUUGCAGCUUUUGUACAGCUCUGCCGGAUAUCCAUCGCACCUCAUUCAGCCUGUGCUAGAACACCGACAGGAACAGGGAGCUCACUACCAACAGGGACCUUGGCGGGUGGCUCCGGAAAGGCAGGCAGCAGCCUGUUGUUACCAGUUGGAGGCAUUGUUCAGGAGGAGAUGAAGCUCCUUACCACCCCUCAGCGGUGUCCUAAUGGGCUCUUGCUGCUUUCGCAACAAACCUGAUGUCUUUGCUCCUAAGACCCUGAACUGCCCCAUCCUCUACCCUCAGCAGAUCAUGUCACCUGCUGCUCUCUCGACAGGGUUGGGGUUUCCAGCAAAAGCUCUUGCAUUUCCGCCUAGUGUCUUCACACCGCUCUCUGGGUAGCCUGUCCCUUCUCUUCCCUGCCCUCCCUCCUUCUCCUCCCUCCUCCCUCUCCCCUUUGUCCAUUACACCUUCACUGCUGCCCAGCUCCUCCUAUCUUUCCCCUCUGGGAAAAAAAAAACUUUAAAUAUUGCCCUUGCCCUUAAAAAUUCCUUCCUUCAGGGAAAAAGGGAAGAGGGAGGGAGAAAUGAAGGAAGGGACAAGAAAAAAAAGUGAAAACAGAAGAGAAAAUGGAAACAAAGUGUUUAGACAUAGGGAGAGGAGAGGGCUUAAGGGAAGGGGAGAAUGGGGGAAAAAAGGUGGGAUGUACCAUGGAAUGUACCAGGUACAAAUACGAGUUCCCUGUCACUGUCUAAAUUGUACCAAUAAGUGUUUUUGCUGUGUAAAAAAAAAUUCCUUCCUUCACACGCUAAUUAACAAAACAAUGAUAUCACUCACACUCAUCAAGCUGGCAAAAGUCAACGCGCACAGUGACACUGAGGGCCAGGCCCACAGGGAUCUGGCAGCGCUGUGCUCUUGCUUUGAGACAGCGCCCAGGAAACCCGGAGACGCAGCGGGCUUCACUUCUCGGCGGGGCCAUGGAGCGACUCUCUCAUGGGGACCGUGGAGGUAGGAUGGAGCUCGUUCACUCCCGCACUGUUGCUAACACUGAGAAAUAGCGACAACAAAGCUGUCGGCAGCAGCGAAGGGACGUGGCUUAUUCAUAGAAGGGUGGGUAAGGUGAAUGAGCCAGAACUGUAUCCGUCAUCACCGGCAAGCUCAUAAAUAAUGUGGCGAUAACUUGAGUCAUUUGUAGGAAAUGGAUGAACCUGGAGACCAUAACGGCAAAUGAAAUAAAUGAGACACGCAGCUUAAAUAUUGCAUGAUUUCUCCCCUAUGAGAAACCCAAAAUAUAAAUAAAGAGCAAAAUACAUAGUAAUAGAUAAACGAUAGGAAAUAGGGUGACAGAUCUUUGCAAAUGGGAAGGGGACCAAGAAACGGAGAGAGGGGAGAGGGAAAGGAUGGGAAGGGGAAAAAAAUAGAAUUGAGAUGCGUGUAUACAGGGACCAACUCCCCGUGAGGAAUGUAGUUAUUAUGUAUUGCACACAUGCAUCAACACAAAAUAAAAAUGAGGAGCUGGGGAUGUAGCUCAGUGGUGUCCCGAUUGCCU